Pipra filicauda (Wire-tailed manakin) is the source of this 4038-nucleotide long non-coding RNA. RefSeq lists it as uncharacterized. The transcript is spliced from 4 exons. Lineage: Eukaryota; Metazoa; Chordata; Aves; Passeriformes; Pipridae. The record is from RefSeq and is a predicted model, not a curated record.
AGCUCUGGCGGGUCCUGUCCAGGCUCCUUGUGGGCGCCGGUCCCCCCCCCUUUCCAUGGGGAAAGGAAAUGUUCGUUCACGCCACAGAUCAAACAGCUUCCAAGUUCAAAAGUGAAACUUUAGAAGAAGACAGUUAACCAGUGGAACAGAUUGCCAGCAGUGUGGUGUGAAUUUUCCAUUACUCUCAGUCUAAAACAAGCAAGUUUCUCUAGAAAAAAUGCAGUGAGUGAGAAAGGUGGGAUACCAGAAGCUCAUGCAGCUGCACAACCCUGGGGAACACCUUAUAAAUUGGCUUCUGACCCCCAGCCAGCAAAGUGGGAAUUGCCCAGUGUUCGUGGGACCACUGACCUGCAGCUCCUGCCCGUGGCAUCAGGAGAGUGCCAAAAUCCCUACAGGGCCAAUGGCAAAGAACUGCAGAGAUGAAUUUCCACCUCUGGAAAAGCAAAAAACGGAGACCCAGCACAGGAGGCUCUGCCACGUACAAAGUCCACAGGGGUGGCCAGGCAGGUUUGUGUGUUUGCUGUUUGCUCCUGGGGAGCAGUUGUUUUCUCCACUGUGAUCCUUAAGUAAAGAUUGUUCGAGGGACUUUCAGCCAUACUAGAAAAUCAUUUCCCUAAAAUUUAAAAUUGGGAGGGGAAUAAAGUGACUCAGUAAGAGCUGCAGAACUCAGAACUUUUUUUUUUUUUUUCUUUUCCCCAAAGGGAGCUCUACCCUUGUUUAUAUACUUUGAUUUUCUAUAACUGCUAGAACCACUUUGGCAAAAAGUUCAGUAUUUUUUAUUUAGAUGUUGACAUGUGUUUUUUAUAUUCUUAAGUUUAGGGAAAUGGUGAAUUCCUUCUUUUGGAUUUUUUCAAAUGUUUAAGUUGUAACUGUUGGAAUCUGCUGGGUGUUUAAAAUGGAUCUGAGAAAGGAAGUAAGGCAUUAGUUUUAUUGGGAAAAAAAGAAAAAAUAUUUUGGAAGUUUCUUUAAACCAAUGUUUUCCUGACAUAAUAUAGAAGAAUGUAGUUAUAUUGAUUAUAGUGUUUGAAACUGUCUAAUAUAAAUGCCAAUUCAGCAAUAAUUGCUGCAGUGAAAUAUUUUGUAUUUAUUGUAUAAUAAAUGUUUCAUAGAAAUAACAUAAAAUAUUUAGAGAAAAUAAAAUAGGAUUAGAGGGAAUCUAUUGCAUGGCUAAAGGUUUUAUGUGGUGCUAAUAGUAUUUAAAAAAACAUUUUGUAUUAAAUAGACUGUACUUCAUUUGUAUUUGCCAUAGACUGUGAACAAAAUGGAUAUUUCUAAAGGCAGACUUUUAUCAUUGUCUGAGGAAACCUUUAGCUAGCACCAGUCAUAUUCCCUCUUGCAGUUAAUCAGAGUCUUAAUUAAACAAAGCUGAGCUGAAUAGGGAAGUCAGUGAGAUAAUUUUAGACCCUUAAUCCGUGGAUAUAAAAUCCUUAAUCCACGGAUAUAAAAUCAUUUUCUAAAAUUGGGAGCGAGCAUGUUAACAUGCUUUACGUGGAGGGGAACUGAGGCAGAGCAAGACUGCACAUUGCUUGGGGCUGUGCUGAGAAGGGAAGGCAGGGAGGUGCCCAGGAACCCGGACACAGCCUGGGUGACUCCGGGUGCCUGGGACCGGCACUGCUGCCCUGCCCAGCCUGCAAACCUGCUGGAGCCUCUGUGCCAGCAGGCGAGCAGCAGCCUUUGAGCAACUUGUUUUAAUUAUGUGAGGAGCAUGCUAGCUUUCCACAGUCGCCUUUUAAUCUUUUUUAUAUUCCUGUUCACACUCUGUCACAGAUCUGUGCUGCAUUUAAUUACUCCGGCUCAGCUCCGAGUGCAGGGGAUGAACACGGGGCUGGGAGGUGGCUCCUCGAUGCUGUGCAGACCCCACGCAGCCUUCAGGCCUUCUUUACCUCAGGCUUAGACAAAUACAAAGGUCUUUGGGUUGCUGAUCAUGGAAGAUCCUUGCAGAUCUAUAUUUUUGAGACAGAGCUGUCGUUUACAGUAAAUCAGACGGAUUUUCAGCCUGGACCCACUUUGCCCAGUUGUUGGGGCCUCAUCCAGUGAGAUUCCGGGGCUCCAGGCCUUGAGCUGCACGACCCUUUUCCUGUCACUGCUGCCUGAGGUUUGUGAGUGGCACUUGCUCCUGUCUGGGUCACAUGUGGGGCCCAUCAUGGUUUGGUUUCCCUAAAAAACAGGAGUCUCCAGCACAUUCCUCUGCCCCUGCCCCAGAGGAGCCCUGUCCACCUGGUACCAGCCCGGGAAUACGUCUGGAUUACUGGAAAUACUACAGACAGCAUUGUGAUAGCAGAGCUUCAUGCUUCAUCCAAAACCUCGUGGGUUUGGAUCUGUAAAUAAUCCUGGGGUCAGCAGAGGGAGCCCAAGGACACACAGUCUCGGUGUUGGAUUUUGGACCAGCUCAGUUUUCUGGGUGCUGAAGUGUUCUUGACAUAAACUCUCUGCCUUUGAGUGUUGCAAUAACUUAUUUUGAAGCCCCCAAACUGUGCAGCGGCUGUGUGGGGCCACCUGGGUUGUGCUGGAAGGAGGAGAGCUGAGAGGGAGAGCUGUUACUAGUAGAAAACCCUUCAGGAGGGGACUUUUUUCUUAAUAUUUUGAAUAAUGAGAUCAGCACAGAAAUCCAAGGUGUGCCCACACGAUCCUCUGGUGACGCCAGUUUGGCCAAGAGUCUGGGUAGGAGGCAGGAUUGGACUUGGAUAGAGAGAGGGGUUAAACAAAAGUCUGUGCAAAAUACUACUUUAGCUGGGAUUUGCUGUGGGGUCUUUGCAUCAGAAAGAUACUGAUAAUGGACAUUACAAAGAUUAUUGGUAUUCUUGUUGUCUAAUUCCAUUUUAUUACUUCUGAAUGAUCAGAUGUCGUUGCUCAGCCAUAAUGCCCAUCUGAUUUUUGAGGGGACAAAAGUUAUGAGACAAUCACUAUUCUCCCUGGCACUGCUCAAAACCAUUGAAUUCGCCGGGAAAAUUCUGGGAAAUUGAUAACAACGGCAACUUUUUUGAUCAUUGAAAUUCACGUUGAUUUUCAAGGUCUUGUUGAUGUGUUUGGUUUUUUUUAACUGCAAACGGAGCCCUGUAAGCCUGACCUCGAACAAGAGAUGGGCGUUUUCAGAGGCAGCAGAGAAGCAGGGUCCGGGCAGGACGUUUCCAUACCGUUAUUCCAGAGCCGGAGCUCCCUCUUGUGAGAAAGAGAAAUAGCAGAAAAGUCCAGGACUGUCAGCGUGCAGGGAAGGUGGUGUUCAAUAGGCAAGCGAUUUCCAGUAGCUUUUCCUGUAAAUCUGCACACACCUCCGUCUACUGGGACAAGAAAACAUGGGAUUUGAAGCUACGGUCUUGCAAAAUUUGGAAGUGGCACCGUAAUUUGUAACAGGUCACUGUAACUGUGAUCUGUCGCAGUUCUGAUGCUUGAUAAAAAUACAGAAGUGUUUCUCAAUGGAAAUAAUUCCCCUGUUCCCCCCUCCACCCCUCAGCCCAGUGAUUUUUGUCUCUGGCAAAAAGAGCCUGGCUUUGUCAGCUAAUAAAAAGCAGAAAAUAGAGGAAUCUGUCAGAAGUGAUAAAUACUGUUUGCAUUUUUGUGCUUGCUGUGCUCAGUGUCAGCCGUGAUGAAUUGGUGACUCUUCUGCCAUCCUCAGCAAGGAGCACCAGAGCUGGGCUUUCUCAUGUCUGUGCCAAGACCAUCUCCCUUUGGCAAGGGGGGUCUCCAGCCAUGCACUGGGUGCUCAGGGUGUAAUGGGAUACGUUAUCCCCUCGCCAGACGUGUGGAGGUGACUUCAGGUGUAUUUUAGCUUGGGAACAUUUAUGGAAAAUACUUGGUAUUUUGUGAGAUCUGGUGCACUUCAAAAGGAAAAAAAAAAGUGUUUCAGAAGUAUUUUUAUGAGCCCUGGGAUUAAGUUCUUUCUGGCAAGUGUGGCUUAGUGGCAGCCAAAGGGGUGACUGUCACCAGCAGCAGCACUGCCCCGACCCUGUGCGAGUUCAGCUGUGGGGCUGUGGCAGGGCCUGGGCAUUUGGGGGUCCUCCACCUACUGGGGUCAGACCCUGUCCAGUGCCUGCUGCCAAG